CCUACGGGUGGCAGCAGUGAGGAAUAUUGGUCAAUGGGCGCGAGCCUGAACCAGCCAAGUAGCGUGAAGGAUGACUGCCCUACGGGUUGUAAACUUCUUUUAUAAAGGAAUAAAGUGAGGCACGUGUGCCUUUUUGUAUGUACCUUAUGAAUAAGGAUCGGCUAACUCCGUGCCAGCAGCCGCGGUAAUACGGGGGAUCCGAGCGUUAUCCGGAUUUAUUGGGUUAAAGGGAGCGUAGAUGGGUUGUUAAGUCAGUUGUGAAAGUUUGCGGCUGAACCUUAGAAUUGCAAUUGAUACUGGUAGUCUAGAGUGCAGUUGAGGUAGGCGGAAUUCGUGGUGUAGCGGUGAAAUGCUUAGAUAUGACGAAGAACACCGAGUGCGAAGGCAGCAUACUAGACUGCAACGGACAUUGAUGCACGAAAGUGUGGGUAUCAAACAGGAUUAGAUACCCGAGUAGUC
RNAcentral lists this ribosomal RNA (459 nucleotides) under uncultured bacterium. RNAcentral describes it as "partial 16S ribosomal RNA". It matches the Rfam family "Bacterial small subunit ribosomal RNA", at positions 338 to 795 of the family's 1533-position model. The record is from RNAcentral.